RNAcentral lists this ribosomal RNA (379 nucleotides) under Calomyxa metallica. RNAcentral describes it as "SSU rRNA". It matches the Rfam family "Bacterial small subunit ribosomal RNA", at positions 558 to 930 of the family's 1533-position model. The record is from RNAcentral. Lineage: Eukaryota; Evosea; Eumycetozoa; Trichiida; Dianemataceae.
GCGUAAAGGGUAUCUAGGCUGUGGAAAAAAGGAAAUAAAUGAAAUAUUUGGUAGUCAUCAUCUAUGUUUGUUUUCCUAGUUCACUUGAAUUCAGAUGGGCCGCAGGAAGUCAUUAUGGAACGGUAAUGUGUAGAUAUGAUGACGACCGACAGAGGUGAAGACAUGUUGCCUUUGAGUAUUGACGUAAUGUACGAAGGUAUGGGGAUAAAGUGGAUUAGAGACCACGUAGUCCAUACGGUAACGCUGAACGUUCAAUGUAGGAGUUAACUCGCAAGACCAAUGCUGGAGAUUCUUGGUGUUCAGCUAACGCGUUAAACGUUCCGCUGGGAAGUACGGUCGCAAGGUGAAACUCAAAAGAAUUGACGGUGAUUGGACAGGG